UACGUAGGGUGCAAGCGUUGUCCGGAAUUAUUGGGCGUAAAGAGCUCGUAGGCGGUCUGUCGCGUCUGCUGUGAAAACUCGGGGCUUAACCCCGGGCCUGCAGUGGGUACGGGCAGACUAGAGUGCGGUAGGGGAGACUGGAAUUCCUGGUGUAGCGGUGAAAUGCGCAGAUAUCAGGAGGAACACCGGUGGCGAAGGCGGGUCUCUGGGCCGUAACUGACGCUGGAGGAGCGAAAGCGUGGGAGCGAACAGG
Molecule: ribosomal RNA, 253 nt
Filed under: uncultured bacterium
Lineage: Bacteria
Description: partial 16S ribosomal RNA
Rfam family: Bacterial small subunit ribosomal RNA
Source: RNAcentral